RNAcentral lists this ribosomal RNA (253 nucleotides) under uncultured bacterium. RNAcentral's name for it is "partial 16S ribosomal RNA". It matches the Rfam family "Bacterial small subunit ribosomal RNA", at positions 524 to 776 of the family's 1533-position model. The record is from RNAcentral.
UACGUAGGUGGCAAGCGUUGUCCGGAUUUAUUGGGUUUAAAGGGUGCGUAGGCGGCCCUGUAAGUCAGUGCUGAAAUAUCCCAGCUUAACUGGGAGGGUGGCAUUGAUACUGCGGGGCUAGAGUACAGAUGAGGUAGGCGGAAUUGACGGUGUAGCGGUGAAAUGCUUAGAUAUCGUCAAGAACACCUAUAGCGAAGGCAGCUUACUAGGCUGUAACUGACGCUGAGGCACGAAAGCGUGGGGAGCGAACAGG